This 77-nucleotide transfer RNA is filed under the name Niastella sp. HX-2-15. RNAcentral's name for it is "tRNA-Pro". It matches the Rfam family "tRNA". Rfam says of the family: Transfer RNA (tRNA) molecules are approximately 80 nucleotides in length. Lineage: Bacteria; Pseudomonadati; Bacteroidota; Chitinophagia; Chitinophagales; Chitinophagaceae. The record is from RNAcentral.
CGGGCAGUAGCGCAGCCCGGUAGCGCACUACGUUCGGGACGUAGGGGUCGCUGGUUCGAAUCCAGUCUGCCCGACUA